RNAcentral lists this long non-coding RNA (1704 nucleotides) under Monomorium pharaonis (pharaoh ant). RNAcentral's name for it is "uncharacterized LOC114254452". The record is from RNAcentral. Lineage: Eukaryota; Metazoa; Arthropoda; Insecta; Hymenoptera; Formicidae.
AUAUUCAUUAAAAAGGCAAAAAAAAAAAAUAUUAAAGCAACGAAAUCUACGAAAGCAACUACAAAAGAAACUUAACAAUGCCGCCAAGAGCUUAAAAAGCAAAAAACAAGUUUAAUGCUGGAAUAGCAGAUUAGAGAUUACCUUCGGCAAUUGAACGUUUAAACGAUGAAAGCUUUUAGAUGAGCGAAUUAUAGCUUCAGAUAAUUAAAUUAGAUAAAGUUCCGCAUCGCGGUAUCCUCGCAGGGCCAACUGUCUGAAAGCAUCGAUUACGCUUGACGCGUAUGCAAGCGUUGCAUCUCUUACCCGACUUCCACCAAGUUUAUCCUUUAAACGCGAUUUAAUUCAAGUUUAUUGACUCUGACAGUUUAUCCGAGAUAAAUAAUAUCCAAUCCGAUAAAUAGGUUGCUAAAGGCAUCAUUAUACUUUCUCAAAUUAUGAUAUAAUCUUUACGCUAAUCUUCGUUAAUUUAUAAAAUAUAAAUAUGUAAUCAUCUAGAGACAUUUGUAUCAAGAAUUUUUUUGAUAAUUUAAAAGUAUGAUAUGCUUGAUUAUUAUAUGCUUCGAUGUUGAUAACGAAAACGAUUUUGCUCAUAAUUUUGUUUAAUCGUGGCAAUGACAGGCAAUUAACAUGUUUCGCGGCGGAACUUUUGAACCCUGAUCAAACGACGUUCGUUCCUCUUGUUGAAACAAGACAUGGGAGAGCAAUUAGGAGCACCGAUUAUGACGUCGUCUCGACGUGGAAAACUGUCAGCAAACUUUGGCGGUGUCGUCGCCAUCAACCAAACGUUUUGGAAAGUUUUGAGCGGUUAACAAUUCCGACUAUAUCGCACUUCAUGGAUCUUAAAAAUCAAGAAAAAGAGACGGAAAGAGAAAGAGAGUGGAAGAGAGAAAAAGAGAAAAUUAUUAUAGAAUAAGGCUAUUUCAAAAGUUCGACAAAAUCUUUAGUUUAAUUAAUUUCUAUAAUUUUAAAAGUUGGCUAAUCUAUUUGACAGACGUAAACAAGUUCAGGUAAUUUUUUAGCAUAAAGCGUAAAAAUUAAUUAGCGAAUUUUUAAAUAAUAACAAUCGUAAGUUCGUACACCAUAUCCAAAAGAAUCGUUUAUAUAUACCUUUUUCCGUUUUAUAGAAUUGUAAAUAAUUAUAAAAUAUUUAUUUAAUUUCUGUUUAAAGUAUUUUGGAGUAACGUAAAAAAUUUAUUCCCGUAUACGAAAAACAUUGUUAUAAUUGUUGCAACAAUAUCUUUUAUAUUUAAAAAAGAACUGUAUGUAAAUUCAAUUCAAUUCAUAUAUUGGUAUAUGUUGUAUUGAAUGCAACUGUUAGGAUGUUCGUUUGUACGUAUGGUCUAUACCUCACUAUAUUCUUAUAAUAAGUAAUAUGUGAUUAGUAUACAUAUAUGGUUAACCCAACUAAAAGAUUAUUUGUUAUUUAGUUAAGACAAAAUUUUAAGACAAGACAAAAUCAGCAAAAUCGAAUGCGACCUAACGGAAUAUUUAGUACUUUUUUUGUACUACCAAAAUUAAUUUUCCUGAAUUUCCUGCCAGCUUCAUAGAGUUUUCUUAUUUCUGUGAUCUGCAGAACAACUAGUAUAACUAAGAGAUCUUUAAAAUAUAAUUGUACAGCACAGCACUCAAAAUUGAGUUUUAUUGCAGUAUUAGAAUAAAAAACGAUAAUAUUAUAAUCGGCUCACAAUAAAUUUUUAUAUAAAA